GGAAAGUCCGCGAGGACGCCGGGAAAGUCCUCACCGCGUACCUCAAGGACCGGCCGGUGUUCGAGGCCGACGAUCAGUCGGCCAUGGUGUACCUUCUCGCCACCGAGCGUGCACGCUGGGGCGACAAGGUGUACCUUGAGAAUGCUUACUACCUCCAUGGGUAUUGGGGGAUACUGGUGGACCGAUACGAGGAGAUGAUCGAGAACCACCACCCGGGGCUCGGGGACCACCGGUGGCCGCUUGUGACACAUUUCGUCGGGUGCAAGCCGUGUGGGAAGUUCGGGGAUUAUCCGGUGGAGCGGUGCUUGAAGCAGAUGGAUAGGGCGUUCAAUUUUGGGGAUAAUCAGGUUUUGCAGAUGUAUGGAUUCGAGCAUAAGUCGCUGGCGAGUAGGAGGGUGAAGAGGAUUCGGAAUGAGACUAGUAAUCCGCUUGAUGGGAGGGAUGAGCUCGGGCUGCUUCAUCCGGCUUUCAAAGAAGUUAAGGCCACUGGUACUGCAUUAUAGUAAUAGUAAUUUACCAAUUUUCAGUCUCAA
This 533-nucleotide unclassified non-coding RNA is filed under the name Hevea brasiliensis (rubber tree). The record is from RNAcentral. Lineage: Eukaryota; Viridiplantae; Streptophyta; Magnoliopsida; Malpighiales; Euphorbiaceae.